This 628-nucleotide ribosomal RNA is filed under the name Aurelia relicta. RNAcentral's name for it is "partial large subunit ribosomal RNA". It matches the Rfam family "Bacterial large subunit ribosomal RNA", at positions 1833 to 2624 of the family's 2925-position model. The record is from RNAcentral. Lineage: Eukaryota; Metazoa; Cnidaria; Scyphozoa; Semaeostomeae; Ulmaridae.
CCUACGACAUUUUUGUAAGGUGAAGCCUGCCCAAUGACUGCUAAUAAAUAAUCAAAAUCAGUUCAAUGGCCGCGGUAACUCUGACCGUGAUAAAGUAGCAUAAUCAUUUGUCACUUAAUUAGUGACUGGAAUGAAUGGCUAAACGAAUCCUCAACUGUCUCUGAAAGAAUUCCGGUGAAUUUGAAAUAACAGUGAAGAUGCUGUUAAAUAAUUGUAAGACGAAAAGACCCUAUCGAGCUUUACUGGAAGCUUGUAUACUAUUAUAUUAUCUUCAAUGAAUUUUUUAAAAAUGCAAGCUUGACAGUUUGGUUGGGGCGACCACCCCUAAAAAUGUAUCAGGGGAACUCUAAAGGUUUAUAAAACAUGAAAAAUUGCUUUACUGGAGACAAACAAGUCAAUCAGUUAUAAUACAUAGGACAUAUUGACCCGUUAUUUAGUUCAUGAUAAAUAACGACUAUGAAAAAAGUUACCGUAGGGAUAACAGGGUAAUAUUUUCAGAGAGUUCAUAUCGAUGAAAAUGUUUGCCACCUCGAUGUUGAAUUAUGAUAUCCUAAGGGUGCAGCAGCUCUUAAGGGUUGGUCUGUUCGACCAUUAAAAUCAUACACGAUUUGAGUUCAUUCCGUCGUAA